This 73-nucleotide transfer RNA is filed under the name Felis catus (domestic cat). It matches the Rfam family "tRNA". From Rfam's summary of the family: Transfer RNA (tRNA) molecules are approximately 80 nucleotides in length. The record is from Rfam by way of RNAcentral. Lineage: Eukaryota; Metazoa; Chordata; Mammalia; Carnivora; Felidae.
ACCUGGCUGGCUCAGUGGGUAGAGCAUGUGACUCUUGAUCUCAAGGUUGUAAAUUCAAGCCCCAUGUUGGGUG